RNAcentral lists this ribosomal RNA (2323 nucleotides) under human gut metagenome. RNAcentral's name for it is "bacterial LSU rRNA". It matches the Rfam family "Bacterial large subunit ribosomal RNA", at positions 14 to 2329 of the family's 2925-position model. The record is from RNAcentral.
AGGGCACAUGAAGGAUGCCUUGGUAUCGGCAGGCGAAGAAGGACGUGGUAAGCUGCGAAAAGCUUCGGGGAGCUGCACACGAGCAUUGAUCCGGAGAUAUCCGAAUGGGGCAACCCGGCUGGAGUAAUGUCCAGUCAUCUGUAACUGAAUCCAUAGGUUACAGAAGCGAGACGCAGGGAAGUGAAACAUCUCAGUACCUGCAGGAAAAGAAAUCAACAGAGAUUCCGCAAGUAGUGGCGAGCGAACGCGGAAGAGGCUAAACCGGUCGGUUUACUGACCGGGGUUGCGGGACUUCGACAACGGCAAGACCAAUCGAUAGCAGAAGGAUCUGGAAAGGUCCGGCAUAGAGGGUGAAACCCCCGUAAGCGAAAUUGAUUGUAAGCUGUGAAGUAUCCCAAGUAGGUCGGAACACGUGAAACUCUGACUGAAUCUGGGGAGACCACUCUCCAAGCCUAAAUACUAGCCGGUAACCGAUAGCGUAUAGUACCGCGAGGGAAAGGUGAAAAAGCACCCCGGAAGGGGAGUGAAAAGUAUCUGAAAUCAUGUGUCUACAAAGUGUGGGAGCGCAAGCGACCGCAUGCCUUUUGCAUAAUGAGCCUGCGACUUACUCUAACGAGCGAGGUUAAGCCUAGUGCGGAGCCGAAGCGAAAGCGAGUGUGAAUAGCGCGUCUAGUUCGUUGGAGUAGACCCGAAGCUGAGUGAUCUAUCCAUGGCCAGGUUGAAUCUGCGGUAACACGCAGUGGAGGACCGAACCAGUUCAUGUUGAAAAAUGUUUGGAUGAGCUGUGGAUAGGGGUGAAAGGCCAAUCAAACUCAGUGAUAGCUGGUUCUCUUCGAAAUAGCUUUAGGGCUAGCCUUGCGUAAAUAGUUUGCGGGGGUAGAGCUACUGAUUGUUCACGGGCCCUUACCGGGGUACCAAGAACUAUUAAACUCCGAAUACCGUAAACCGUACCGCAGGAGUCAGACUAUGGGGGAUAAGCUUCAUGGUCGAGAGGGAGACAGCCCAGACCGCCGGCUAAGGUCCCAAAUCUGGACUUAGUGGUUUGAAGGAUGUGAUGUUGCAUAAACAGCCAGGAUGUUGGCUUAGAGGCAGCCAUCAUUUAAAGAGUGCGUAAUAGCUCACUGGUCGAGUGAUAUCGCGCCGAAGAUGAUCGGGACUGAAGUCCAGAACCGAAGCCGCGGACCGUGAAUUUAUUCACGGUGGUAGAAGAGCGUUGUAUGCGGGUUGAAGCCGAAGAGUGAUCUGAGGUGGACUGCAUACAAGUGACCAUGCAGGCAUGAGUAGCGAAAAACCGGAUGAGAAUUCCGGUCACCGAAAACCUAAGGUUUCCCGGGGAAGGUUCGUCCGCCCGGGGUUAGUCGGAACCUAAGGCGAGGCCGAAAGGCGUAGUCGAUGGAGGACAGGUUAAUAUUCCUGUACCACCUUGCUGGAGUGAUGGAGGGACGCAGUAAGUCAGGCGAGCCAACUGCUGAAUAUGUUGGUCGAAUCCCGUAGGGCGUGUCAUAGGCAAAUCCGUGACACAACAGCCUGAGAGGCGUAAGGUAUCCGGGCGCAAGUCUGGAGAAUUCGCUGUGACUACACUGACGAGAAAAGCUUCUAAACGUCGAUAGCAGGGUGUCCGUACCGUAAACCGACACAGGUAGGUGAGGCGAGUAGCCUAAGGUGCGCGAGAGAAACCAACGUUAAGGAACUCGGCAAAUCAGCCCCGUAACUUCGGAAUAAGGGGUGCCGUUUCAGGUGGAGGGAUUUACUCCCCGAGCCCGGGACGGUUGCAAUAAAGAGGCCGGUGCGACUGUUUAACAAAAACAUAGCUCUAUGCUAACUCGUAAGAGGAUGUAUAUGGAGUGACACGUGACCAAUGCCAAAAGGUCAAUGGGAGAGGUUAGCGCAAGCGAAGCUUCGAUCUGAAGCCCUGGUGAAUGUCGGCCGUAACUAUAACGGUCCUAAGGUAGCGAAAUUCCUUGUCGGGUAAGUUCCGACCUGCACGAAUCGUGUAACGAUGCCAGCACUGUCUCAACGUGGAUCUCGGCGAAGUUGUAAUUCCGGUGAAAAUGCCGGAUACCUGCGGAAGGACGGAAAGACCCCAUGAACCUUUACUGUAAUCUGAUAUUGGUAUUUGGUUGCUCUUGUGUAGCAUAGGUGGGAGGCUGUGAAGCCGCUACGCCAGUACCGGUGGAGCCACAGGUGAAAUACCACCCUGGUGCAAUUAGAUAUCUAACGGACGCCCGUGAAUCCGGACUCCGGACCGUGUCAGAGGGUCAGUUUGACUGGGGCGGUUUCCUCCUAAAUUGUAACGGAGGAGCCCGAAGGUACACUCAGCACG